Molecule: transfer RNA, 71 nt
Filed under: Stegodyphus mimosarum
Lineage: Eukaryota; Metazoa; Arthropoda; Arachnida; Araneae; Eresidae
Rfam family: tRNA
About the family: Transfer RNA (tRNA) molecules are approximately 80 nucleotides in length. Their secondary structure includes four short double-helical elements and three loops (D, anti-codon, and T loops). Further hydrogen bonds mediate the characteristic L-shaped molecular structure. tRNAs have two regions of fundamental functional importance: the anti-codon, which is responsible for specific mRNA codon recognition, and the 3' end, to which the tRNAs corresponding amino acid is attached (by aminoacyl-tRNA synthetases). tRNAs cope with the degeneracy of the genetic code in two manners: having more than one tRNA (with a specific anti-codon) for a particular amino acid; and 'wobble' base-pairing, i.e. permitting non-standard base-pairing at the 3rd anti-codon position.
Source: Rfam by way of RNAcentral
GCCUUUGUGGUGUAACGGUAGCACACUUGGCUCGUAUUCGAGAGGUACAGGUUCGCGUCUCGGUGAAGGCA